This 1190-nucleotide ribosomal RNA is filed under the name Bacillus licheniformis. Its description in RNAcentral is "bacterial SSU rRNA". It matches the Rfam family "Bacterial small subunit ribosomal RNA", at positions 100 to 1276 of the family's 1533-position model. The record is from RNAcentral. Lineage: Bacteria; Bacillati; Bacillota; Bacilli; Caryophanales; Bacillaceae.
GACGGGUGAGUAACACGUGGGUAACCUGCCUGUAAGACUGGGAUAACUCCGGGAAACCGGGGCUAAUACCGGAUGCUUGAUUGAACCGCAUGGUUCAAUCAUAAAAGGUGGCUUUUAGCUACCACUUACAGAUGGACCCGCGGCGCAAUAGCUAGUUGGUGAGGUAACGGCUCACCAAGGCGACGAUGCGUAGCCCACCUGAGAGGGUGAUCGGCCACACUGGGACUGAAACACGGCCCAGACUCCUACGGGAGGCAGCAGUAGGGAAUCUUCCGCAAUGGACGAAAGUCUGACGGAACAACGCCGCGUGAGUGAUGAAGGUUUUCGGAUCGUAAAACUCUGUUGUUAGGGAAGAACAAGUACCGUUCGAAUAGGGCGGUACCUUGACGGUACCUAACCAGAAAGCCACGGCUAACUACGUGCCAGCAGCCGCGGUAAUACGUAGGUGGCAAGCGUUGUCCGGAAUUAUUGGGCGUAAAGCGCGCGCAGGCGGUUUCUUAAGUCUGAUGUGAAAGCCCCCGGCUCAACCGGGGAGGGUCAUUGGAAACUGGGGAACUUGAGUGCAGAAGAGGAGAGUGGAAUUCCACGUGUAGCGGUGAAAUGCGUAGAGAUGUGGAGGAACACCAGUGGCGAAGGCGACUCUCUGGUCUGUAACUGACGCUGAGGCGCGAAAGCGUGGGGAGCGAACAGGAUUAGAUACCCUGGUAGUCCACGCCGUAAACGAUGAGUGCUAAGUGUUAGAGGGUUUCCGCCCUUUAGUGCUGCAGCAAACGCAUUAAGCACUCCGCCUGGGGAGUACGGUCGCAAGACUGAAACUCAAAGGAAUUGACGGGGGCCCGCACAAGCGGUGGAGCAUGUGGUUUAAUUCGAAGCAACGCGAAGAACCUUACCAGGUCUUGACAUCCUCUGACAACCCUAGAGAUAGGGCUUCCCCUUCGGGGGCAGAGUGACAGGUGGUGCAUGGUUGUCGUCAGCUCGUGUCGUGAGAUGUUGGGUUAAGUCCCGCAACGAGCGCAACCCUUGAUCUUAGUUGCCAGCAUUCAGUUGGGCACUCUAAGGUGACUGCCGGUGACAAACCGGAGGAAGGUGGGGAUGACGUCAAAUCAUCAUGCCCCUUAUGACCUGGGCUACACACGUGCUACAAUGGGCAGAACAAAGGGCAGCGAAGCCGCGAGGCUAAGCCAAUCCCA